Molecule: long non-coding RNA, 1674 nt
Organism: Scatophagus argus
Lineage: Eukaryota; Metazoa; Chordata; Actinopteri; Scatophagidae
Exons: 6
Source: RefSeq, a predicted model, not a curated record
CACACACACACACACACACACCCUCCCUCCUCUCUCUCUCUCUCUCUCUCUCUCUCUCCAUUUUGUGUGCUUUGUAAAAGCAGCACAGGUCUUCUCGCUGUCCGCCACAUGAGGGAUAUUGGACUACUGUUUUGAUGGAGCCAGUGGUCGCCUUGUGCAGGGCCACACAGUAAAGCACAAAUGAGUUCAUCUGUCAAGUGGGGCUGCUCCACUCUCAGUCGCCGUAAGCACAUCCUGUUUCCGUCAGCACAGGAAGUGCACGCUCCACGACACAAGGUUCCCACUGAGGAAGGCAGCUCAGUGUGAUGGAUGUGGUCUCGCUGCUCAGCUCCCUGCGGUGAAGAAAGAGAAAAAGGAGGGGACGUCUUCUGAUUCUCUGACAUUCUUUAAACAUCAGGACGAACUGGCAGAGAUGUCGUUUCGACAGGAAAGGCAGGUUGACAGAGAAGUGGUCUUCUGUUUUGUGUCUGGAUCGUGCACUGAAGAUACACACUCCCAUAACGCAGGAAACAUACAGAACAUGAUCAGUUUAUGACACAUUCAAAAAGCAACAGCGACGGAGGAGGAUCUGAGGAGACAGUGGACUGAUGAAAUGGCUGCUGCUGAGGAGGAACUGAACACUGAAGCCACAAAGACGUUGUCUACCUGCAGGCUCUGGAAGAGGAACACUGUGUCUAGGGGCGUCGCAGGGGGAAAUCUGGAUGGAGAUUUGUCGGGGGGUUAAAGCCUUCUGGUACGCUCUACAGGCCUGAACAAGCGUUAUACAAUUUCUAAAUGAUAUUCAAGGCUCUUCUUGAUUGUUUUCAUGGUGAUGUUUUCUUUCAAAUUAUUCUUCAGUGAUUUUUGCUUUUGUUGUUCCAUCACCAAUUUUAAAACCAUCAAUUAAAAAAUAUUUCUUCUCCAUGAGCAGGCUGUUGCGAUGUGACUCCUACACUUCCGUCUUAUAAUGCUUCAUCUUUUCAGCGAUCUUAAGACGAAAACAGCCGUUCAUUGCAGCCAAGUAGGAUGCAGGUACGUGCACUUAUUUUGAUGCUAUAUUAUGCCACAUUCCACUUUCACUACCAUAUGAAAAAGCUGUACUUUUUUCCCCCCGCUGCAUUUAUCGGACAAAUUCAGUUAUUACUUUACAGAAUAAGAUUUUUGAAUGCAAAAUUCUACAAGUAUGACUAUUUGAAUGAUUAUUCAAGUCAUUCAAACUGCUCUGAUGAUUGUUUAAGUCUUUUUUCCCCCCCAUACAAAAACAAAGCAUUUCAAACAUAUCUGAAGAUUUGCUGCUUUCACUUUAAAGUGUUUUUAAUAAUGUUGAGGUUUGGACUGGAAGUUGGAAAAAACAAACACGGUGAAGGUGUCACCCUGAGCUCUGGGUAAUUAUGACCACAUUUCUCAGCGUUUUUAGAACUUUUACAAACCCAAUCAAUCAAUUCAUAGAAGAGAAAAAAAACAAUAAUCAGCAGAUUAAUCUGUAAUAAUAACAAUCAACACUUUUAAUACUUCAAUUAGAUUUUCUCAAUUGUACUUCCAUCCAUUUUAACAGUUUGAAAGCAGGACCGUGACAGUAUUUUUACAGUGUUGUAUUUGUAUUAUCGCUUAAGAAAAGGCUCUGAAUACUUCCUCCACCACUGAAUGAAAGAAUAUGGUUGGAAUUACUCUUUUGUUUUUGUCACAUAAUCUCAU